This 200-nucleotide ribosomal RNA is filed under the name uncultured bacterium. RNAcentral describes it as "partial 16S ribosomal RNA". It matches the Rfam family "Bacterial small subunit ribosomal RNA", at positions 524 to 723 of the family's 1533-position model. The record is from RNAcentral.
UACGGAGGUUCCAAGCGUUGUUCGGAAUUACUGGGCGUAAAGGGAGCGCAGGUGGAUUGGUAAGUCUAAAGUGGAAGCCCGGGGCUCAACCUCGGAAGGCCUUUGGAUACUGCCAGUCUUGAGUACGUGAGAGGAAAGCGGAAUUCAGGGUGUAGCGGUGAAAUGCUUAGAUAUCCUGAGGAACACCAAUGGCGAAAGCA